AGAGUUUGAUCCUGGCUCAGGAUGAAUGCUGGCGGCGUGCCUAACACAUGCAAGUCGAACGAUACAGUGGCAAACGGGUGCAUAACACGUAGGAAUUUACCCUCGUCUCGAGAAUAGCUCCGCGAAAGUGGAGGUAAUACUCGAUGGUAUACGGUUAAAUUUAUUUAAUCCGUAUUAAAGAUUUAUCGGACGUGGAGAAGCCUGCGGCCUAUCAGCUAGUUGGUGGGGUAAUAGCCUACCAAGGCAACGACGGGUAGCUGAUCCGAGAGGAUGAUCAGCCACAGGGGAACUGAGAUACGGUCCCCACUCCUACGGGAGGCAGCAGUUGGGAAUAUUGCACAAUGGGCGAAAGCCUGAUGCAGCGACGCCGCGUGAAGGAAGAAGCUUUUCGGAGUGUAAACUUCUUUUGUCUGGGAUGAUUAUGACAGUACCAGACGAAUAAGUACCGGCUAACUACGUGCCAGAAGCCUCGGUGAUACGUAGGGUACAAGCAUUAUCCGGAAUUAUUGGCAGUAAAGCGUGUCUAGGUGGUUAUAAAAGUUUUUUGUUAAAUCUCUGGGCUCAACCCAGAAAUCGCAGAAAAUACUCUAUGACUAGAGACCAAUAGAGGUGUAUGGAACUCUCGGUGUAGGAGUGAAAUCCGUUGAUAUCGAGAGGAACACCAAAGGCGAAGGCAAUACACUAGAUUGGUUCUGACACUCAAGCACGAAAGCGUGGGUAGCGAAAAGGAUUAGAUACCCUUGUAGUCCACGCCGUAAACGAUGCAGACUAAUUGCUGGGAGUAUUGACCCUCCUCGCAGUGAAGCUAACGCGUUAAGUCUGCCGCCUGGGAAGUACGGUCGCAAGACUAAAACUCAAAGGAAUUGACGGGGGCUUGCACAAGCGGUGGAGCAUGUGGUUUAAUUCGACGAUAAGCGAAGAACCUUACCAGGACUUGACAUCCCAAUCGUAUCCUGUAGAAAUACAGGAGUCAGUUCGGCUGGAUUGGUGACAGGUGCUGCACGGUUGUCGUCAGCUCGUGUCGUGAGAUGUUCCGUUAAGUCGGCUAACGAGCGAAACCCCUAUUGCCAGUUGUAUUUCUCUGGCGAGACUGCCCCGGUUAACGGGGAGGAAGGUGGGGAUGACGUCAAGUCCUCAUGGCCUUUAUGACCAGGGCUACACACGUACUACAAUGGCCGGUACAACGGGCAGCCACUUGGCGAUAAGGAGCCAAUCCCGUAAAGCCGGUCUCAGUCCGGAUUGGAGUCUGCAACUCGACUCCAUGAAGUUGGAAUCGCUAGUAAUCGCAGAUCAGCACGCUGCGGUGAAUACGUUCCCGGGCCUUGUACACACCGCCCGUCACACCACGGGAGUUGAUUGUACCAGAAGUAGUUGAGCUAACCGCAAGGGGGCAGGCUACCAAGGUAUGGUUGGUAACUGGGGUGAAGUCGUAACAAGGUAGCC
RNAcentral lists this ribosomal RNA (1443 nucleotides) under uncultured bacterium. RNAcentral describes it as "16S ribosomal RNA". It matches the Rfam family "Bacterial small subunit ribosomal RNA". The record is from RNAcentral.